Molecule: ribosomal RNA, 255 nt
Filed under: uncultured bacterium
Lineage: Bacteria
Description: partial 16S ribosomal RNA
Rfam family: Bacterial small subunit ribosomal RNA
Source: RNAcentral
UACGAAGGGGGCUAGCGUUGUUCGGAAUCACUGGGCGUAAAGGGCGCGUAGGCGGCUUUGUAAGUCGGGGGUGAAAGCCUGUGGCUCAACCACAGAAUUGCCUUCGAUACUGCAUGGCGUUGAGACCGGAAGAGGUUAGUGGAACUGCGAGUGUAGAGGUGAAAUUCGUAGAUAUUCGCAAGAACACCAGUGGCGAAGGGCGGCUGACUGGUCCGGUUCUGACGCUGAGGCGCGAAAGCGUGGGGAGCGAACAGG